RNAcentral lists this long non-coding RNA (1438 nucleotides) under Monodelphis domestica (gray short-tailed opossum). RNAcentral describes it as "lncRNA (ENSMODG00000042616.1)". Lineage: Eukaryota; Metazoa; Chordata; Mammalia; Didelphimorphia; Didelphidae. The record is from RNAcentral.
CGUCGCCCUCUCAGCCGUUGAACCUUCUUAUUGGUUUCUUCCGUCUGUUCAGCCGAAGCAGUCUUCACAUGCUGGGUGAGCAAAGCCCUAGUUCACCAGGGUUGAUGUCGACCCGAUGGCUACCCUCACAAGGUUUAGCCGGCCUGUCGAAGCCGUUGCCCGGGGUGUGGCCGCUGCUGCAUGCUAGCAGCUACUGGGAGCCACAAGUGAGAGCUGGGUGUCAGGUGGGGGUCAGAGGCUGGAGAGCUGCCUUAGGAGGGCACGACAAGCCCUCCAUACCAGAGAUACUACCCCUCCCUGAGCACCCCAUACACCCCUGUGUAUGACAUAUGGCAUGCUGUGAUGGAUCUAGACCUGGGCGUCUACAUCAAAUACCGACUGGAUGGCUCACUAUUUGACCUUUGCCGCCUGACUGCAAAAACAAAGACAACAGAGAGACUCAUCCUGGAAGCUCUCUUUGCAGAUGACUGUGCUCUCAUGGCCCACCAAGAAAAUCAUCUCCAAACCAUUGUGGACAGGUUCUCCACUGCAACAAAACUGUUUGGCCUGACUAUCAGCCUCAGCAAAACAGAGGUGCUGUUCCAACCUGCACCAGGGAGGCCAACGAACCAGCCGUGCAUUACAAUCAACAGCACGCAACUUUCUAAUGUCAACACUUUCAAGUACCUGGGCAGCACCAUCGCCAAUGACAGGUCCCUAGACCACGAGAUUAAUGCCAGGAUCCAAAAGGCCAGCCAGGCACUCGGGCGGCUGCGCUCCAAAGUCCUCCAACACAGAGGUGUAAGCACUGCGAUGAAACUCAAAGUGUAUAAUGCAGUGGUCCUCAGCUCACUCCUGUACGGUUGCGAGACAUGGACACUGUACCGGAAGCACAUGAAACAGCUGGAGCAAUUCCACCAACACUCCCUCCGGUCAAUCAUGAGGAUCCGAUGGCAGGACCGAAUCACCAACCAGGAAGUCCUCGACAGAGCCAACUCCACCAGCAUCGAAGUCCUGGUCCUCAAAACCCAGCUACGAUGGUCUGGACAUGUCAUCCGCAUGGACCCACAGCGAAUACCAAGACAGGUAUUCUAUGGUGAACUGUUAGCUGGACUCAGGAAACAAGGCCAACCAAAGAAAAGAUUCAAGGAUCAGCUAAAGUCAAACUUGAAGUGGGCUGGCAUUACACCAAAGCAACUAGAACUCGCUACCUCUGACAGAAGCAGCUGGCGAACCCACAUUCACCAUGCCGCCACCACCUUUGAAGAUGAGCGACGUCGACGUCUUGCCACUGCGCGUGAACGCCGACACCAGGCCACAACCGCACCUCCCGUAACAACUGGCGUCCCAUGCCCCAUGUGCCACAAACUCUGCGCCUCAGCCUUUGGACUCCAAAGCCACAUGAGGGUACACCGUAGAUGAAACUGCACAAAGACAAUAGUCAUUCUCAAUCACCGAG